Molecule: ribosomal RNA, 305 nt
Filed under: uncultured bacterium
Lineage: Bacteria
Description: bacterial SSU rRNA
Rfam family: Bacterial small subunit ribosomal RNA
Source: RNAcentral
AUUGUCCUACGGGAGGCAGCAGUGGGGGAUAUUGCACAAUGGGGGAAACCCUGAUGCAGCGACGCCGCGUGGGUGAAGAAGCGCCUCGGCGCGUAAAGCUCUAUCAGCAGGGAAGAAGAUGACGGUACCUGAUUAAGAAGCCCCGGCUAACUACGUGCCAGCAGCCGCGGUAAUACGUAGGGGGCAAGCGUUAUCCGGAUUUACUGGGUGUAAAGGGAGCGCAGACGGCAGUGCAAGUCUGGAGUGAAAGCCCGGGGCCCAACCCCGGAACUGCUCUGGAAACUGUGCGGCUAGAGUACUGGAGG